RNAcentral lists this ribosomal RNA (408 nucleotides) under uncultured bacterium. RNAcentral's name for it is "partial 16S ribosomal RNA". It matches the Rfam family "Bacterial small subunit ribosomal RNA", at positions 29 to 526 of the family's 1533-position model. The record is from RNAcentral.
AGUGAACGCUGGCAGCGUGCCUAAUACAUGCAAGUCGAACGGAGUGGCGCACGGGUGAGUAAUAUCUAGCUAAUCUUCCCCUUGCUGGAGGACAACAGUUAGAAAUGACUGCUAAUACUCCAUAGCAAGGGAUGAGACUAUAUCGUAUCAGCUAGUCGGUGGGGUAACGGCCUACCGCGGCUAUGACGCGUAACUGGUGUGAGAGGAUGAUCAGUAACAUUGGAACAGAGACACGGUCCAAGCUCCUACGGGAAGCAGCAGUAGCGAAUAUUGCGCAAUGGGGGAAGCCAUGAAGCGGCAGCGCCGCGUGAAGGAUGACACUUUUCGGAGCGUAAGCUCCUUUUGUUAGGGAAGCGGUACCUAACGAAUAAGCACCGGCUAACUACGUGCCAGCAGCCGCGGUAAUUC